The sequence is a small nuclear RNA, 149 nucleotides long. Its record names the gene U2. It matches the Rfam family "U2 spliceosomal RNA". Rfam says of the family: U2 is a small nuclear RNA (snRNA) component of the spliceosome (involved in pre-mRNA splicing). Complementary binding between U2 snRNA (in an area lying towards the 5' end but 3' to hairpin I) and the branchpoint sequence (BPS) of the intron results the bulging out of an unpaired adenosine, on the BPS, which initiates a nucleophilic attack at the intronic 5' splice site, thus starting the first of two transesterification reactions that mediate splicing. The record is from Ensembl.
AUCGCUUCUCGGCCUUUUGGCUAAGAUCAAGUGUAGACUAUAAUCUCAUUGAAAAUUAAUUCCACCCUAAAAUUUGUGAAUGUAGACAUCCUAGUAUUAUUUCUGACCUUAGUGGAAAAGCUUUUAGUUUUUCCCUUUGAGGGUGAUGU